AAGGAAAGAAAGAAAAAGAAAAGAAAGAAGGAAAGAAGGACGGAAAGAAAGAAGGAAAGAGAGAGAAACAGUAGAUGCUGCAGGGUGGCCUGGGUUCUGGACCGUGACCCCUGGAUUUGUACAAAGACAGGAGGGAUGCCAGCCGUCCUCCGGAGUCUGUAGAACUGUUUUUGAUAAUCAGCACUGGAGUCUCCUCUCAGCUCCUCCCUGGGCACAGCACAGUGAAAAGAGCAUGAGCUUUGGACUCACACGGGCCCGGAACAGAACUGUGAUCAUGGAUAGUAAUCCCUCUGAGCCUCAGUUUCCUCAUCUGUGAAAUGGGAGCAGUGUGGCAACUUCACACAAGUGUGGGCGGAGGGGUUGAGAUGACUCGUACAGCCCGCUGACCACAGCAGAGCAUGGAGACCGGGCGCUGUGGAGUGACUGGAAAUGCAGGCGUACGACAUUUCUUUUACUACGGACUGUAACGCCCCA
Non-coding RNA from Kogia breviceps (pygmy sperm whale), 474 nucleotides. The record is from RefSeq and is a predicted model, not a curated record. NCBI's taxonomy places the organism in Eukaryota, Metazoa, Chordata, Mammalia, Artiodactyla, Physeteridae.